UUCACAGAGAAAGGAUUAUGUGAGGACACCAAGAGGUGACCAUGAGCAAGCCCAGGAGAGAGGCCUCAGAAGAAACCAGACCUGCUGAUUCCUUGAUCUUGAACUUCUAGCCUCCGGAACUAUCCAACUUGAAUGCUUCCUGAUUAAAUAUAUACAGGAGUGAUUUCAGAGGAAUUUAAGUUUUGGAUCAUUCUUUUGAGAAAGAAAGAAAAGUACCCUUUUAAAAGAGACUUUCUUCUGCCACUGCCACUCCUGAGACAACAUGACCAAUCUCUCCCCUUCCUCCUCCUCAGCGUACUUUCAACAUAAAGACGACGAGGAUAAAGGCAUUUAUGAUGAACUACUUCCACAUAAUGAAUAAUUGAACAAAGGAGAGAAUUGUGAGAGUGAGAAAAAGUGAGACAAAGAAGAAAAACUAUAAAUCAGCAAAAUACAGUGCCAAGAGCUCUGGACCACAAAUCAGAAGACCUGAGCCCUAAUUCCUUUCCAGUCAUUGGAUUUGUUCGUCGCUUGCCAAAACAGCAGCGAACUCUCUGUCAAACUGCAACUCAUUUUAUCGGAGCAAAAACUGAACAAAGAACUGCUAUCAUUUCUGAGGUCAGAGGCAGUGCAGCUUGUGUUACAACUCAAAAGAGUAAUACUCUGAAAAAAGAAAAAAAAAGAUGGCGCUGAAAAUAAACAUGUUCAGCAGCCAUUGUGAUUCAACUUACCCAGAUGUGCUUUUCAUGAGAUGGAGAAGGACGGAUGGAAAAGAAAAGCACACAAAUGUUAAUGGAUACAGUUCAAUCCAAAGAAAACCAUGGAAUAAAACAAGAGCAUUAUUUAAGAUGUGAGAAAGCUCAGGUAUGAGAAAGACAUGGUGCCAUUUUGUAUUUCAUCAUGACACACAUACUCACUGUGUCGAAAAGCAUAGUCAGGCUGAGG
RNAcentral lists this long non-coding RNA (924 nucleotides) under Pan troglodytes (chimpanzee). RNAcentral's name for it is "lincRNA". Lineage: Eukaryota; Metazoa; Chordata; Mammalia; Primates; Hominidae. The record is from RNAcentral.